Pseudophryne corroboree (corroboree frog) is the source of this 619-nucleotide long non-coding RNA. RefSeq lists it as uncharacterized. Lineage: Eukaryota; Metazoa; Chordata; Amphibia; Anura; Myobatrachidae. The transcript is spliced from 2 exons. The record is from RefSeq and is a predicted model, not a curated record.
AUCUUUACUACAGAGCAUAUACUGAAGACAGAAUGGCAGGAGACGUAGACCCAAGACAGGUGGACCUUCUCCAUGAUUGAACUGUGAGGUCAUCAGCACAGCAAGCUACAUCUCUGGACUUCUGUGAGGUCAUCUUUACUACAGAGCAUAUACUGAAGACAGAAUGGCAGGAGACGUAGACCCAAGACAGGUAAUUAAUAUUAUUAUUAAUUACUGAUAACUUCCAGGCUAGACUUUAGUUCUAGACCUGUAGAGGCGUGGUAAUAUAUUCCUGCUAUACAUGUAUAUUUAUCAGAUAUGUGUGUUUGCCGUAGACUCUAUUCUUUGUAAAAAUGAAGGGAUAAUAAAUAGGCCCCUUAGAGAGAAAUCACCCUGCCAACAGGGACAAGUGCAAAGAGAUAGUUAUGCAACAGAGUGUGUGUAUGUGUAUAUGUGUGUGUGUAUGAGCUGUUACAUGUUAUGAAAUUUAGACUGUAAGCUCCAAUAGGGCAGGGACUCUUGUGAGUAAUAUAUGAUAUACUCUACUCAGCGAUGCAUACAUUUUUGUUGAUAGGGUCAUCUGUGAUAUAGAGUGAUCGAUAGAUAGUUAUUUCCCCAGUAUGUAGAUUAUUUAGAUUUA